This 474-nucleotide ribosomal RNA is filed under the name uncultured bacterium. RNAcentral describes it as "bacterial SSU rRNA". It matches the Rfam family "Bacterial small subunit ribosomal RNA", at positions 335 to 799 of the family's 1533-position model. The record is from RNAcentral.
ACUCCUACGGGAGGCAGCAGUGGGGAAUAUUGCACAAUGGGCGCAAGCCUGAUGCAGCCAUGCCGCGUGUGUGAAGAAGGCCUUCGGGUUGUAAAGCACUUUCAGUCGUGAGGAAGGCGGGUACGUUAAUAGCGUAUUCGUUUGACGUUAGCGACAGAAGAAGCACCGGCUAACUCCGUGCCAGCAGCCGCGGUAAUACGGAGGGUGCGAGCGUUAAUCGGAAUUACUGGGCGUAAAGCGCAUGCAGGUGGUUUGUUAAGUCAGAUGUGAAAGCCCGGGGGCUCAACCUCGGAAUAGCAUUUGAAACUGGCAGACUAGAGUACUGUAGAGGGGGGUAGAAUUUCAGGUGUAGCGGUGAAAUGCGUAGAGAUCUGAAGGAAUACCGGUGGCGAAGGCGGCCCCCUGGACAGAUACUGACACUCAGAUGCGAAAGCGUGGGGAGCAAACAGGAUUAGAUACCCUGGUAGGACAGUG